CCUCUCUCAGGGUGGCAGCUGGAGAGUUUCCAGUCCUCUACCAGUCUCGGCUACGAGAGGGAGAGUCAAGCUGAGUCCUGUCCAUUCCAUUCCUAGCUUUGCCAGUGGCUAGAGAGUGGAAGGCCAUCUGCCACAAGU
This 138-nucleotide small nucleolar RNA is filed under the name Ornithorhynchus anatinus (platypus). The record is from RNAcentral. Lineage: Eukaryota; Metazoa; Chordata; Mammalia; Monotremata; Ornithorhynchidae.